CAUAGCAGUCAUAUCACCCUGUAGCCCAAGACUGGUUGCCCACUGAAGCCAAGCAGGGAUGAGACUGGUCAGUACCUGGAUGGGAGACCUCCUGGGAAAACUAGGUUGCUGCUGGAA
This 117-nucleotide ribosomal RNA is filed under the name Sinocyclocheilus grahami. The record is from RNAcentral. Lineage: Eukaryota; Metazoa; Chordata; Actinopteri; Cypriniformes; Cyprinidae.